AACUUAGCAGAGAUGCUUUGGUGCCUUCGGGAACUCUGAGACAGGUGCUGCAUGGCUGUCGUCAGCUCGUGUUGUGAAAUGUUCGGGUUAAGUCCCGCAACGAGCGCAACCCCUAUCCUUUGUUGCCAGCGAUUCGGUCGGGAACUCAAAGGAGACUGCCGGUGAUAAACCGGAGGAAGGUGGGGAUGACGUCAAGUCAUCAUGGCCCUUACGAGUAGGGCUACACACGUGCUACAAUGGCGCAUACAAAGAGAAGCGACCUCGCGAGAGCAAGCGGACCUCAUAAAGUGCGUCGUAGUCCGGAUUGGAGUCUGCAACUCGACUCCAUGAAGUCGGAAUCGCUAGUAAUCGUAGAUCAGAAUGCUACGGUGAAUACGUUCCCGGGCCUUGUACACACCGCCCGUCACACCAUGGGAGUGGGUUGCAAAAGAAGUAGAUAGCUUAACCUUCGGGAGGGCGUUUACCACUUUGUGAUUCAUGACUGGGGUGAAGUCGUAACAAGGUAGGCGUAGCGAG
RNAcentral lists this ribosomal RNA (516 nucleotides) under uncultured bacterium. Its description in RNAcentral is "bacterial SSU rRNA". It matches the Rfam family "Bacterial small subunit ribosomal RNA", at positions 994 to 1509 of the family's 1533-position model. The record is from RNAcentral.